Molecule: long non-coding RNA, 2918 nt
Filed under: Homo sapiens (human)
Lineage: Eukaryota; Metazoa; Chordata; Mammalia; Primates; Hominidae
Description: HSALNT0175126
Source: RNAcentral
CGGCUUUAUAUACCCCCCUUCAGUUACUCCUUCCAAACACCCUGUGAGAAUGGGGACUGGCCCUUUAAAAAAAAAAAAAAGAAAGAAAGGAAAAAAAUGAGGAAAUUAACACUCAGAGGAGUUAAAUAACUUGUUCUCAUAUAAAACAGACUCCGUGGUAGGACAGAAUUAAAACCUACUCUAACUUACAGCUCAUGCUCAACUUUUUUUCAUAAAAGGGAAUCCCGGGGGCCACACUGUGAGAGGCCUGGCGUACAUCAGGGACUACAAGUCCGUGGGCAAGACCACAGAGAGGGCAAACAAGCGGUGAAAUGAAAUGAGACAGGAAUCAGAAGAUGAUGUGCUUCUAACUAGGUGGGCAAGUCACUUCACCUUUCCAAGUCUGUUUCCUCACCUGAGAGAUGGAGCCAAUCUAAGAAGAUAACGCAGACAAACUACUUGGCACAUAAGAGGAGCUAAGAUGUCAUUUCUCUCAAUGUGACUUCUUACAAACAUAGACAAGAUGACCUCUCCUUCAUAGAGUUUCUGUGAGAGCAGAGGGCCUGAAGGGCAGAAACUUCCUGGUAAACUCUAAUUUGCUAUAUAAGAGGUUGCACAAUGGGGCCCCCUGUCCAAGUCUAGCCCCAGACAUGUUUUGUUUGGCCAUAUAUAUUUUGUGAACUAGGGCCGGGCGCCAUGGCUCACCCAACAGUACCAAUUCUAAAUGUUGUACCUUUCUCCAUCUCCACGUACAUCCUGGCUUAGGGUUUGAAAUGGUUGCCAUGACUCGGUGGUUCUCAAUUAGGCAAGAUUUUGUCCCCCAGGGGACAUCUGGCAAUGUCUGCAGACAUUUUGGCUGUCACAACUGGGCAGAGUUGGGAGGGGGGUGCUACUGGCAUCUAGUGGAUAGAGGCCAAGUAUGCUCCUAACAUCCUGCAAUGCACAGGACAGCGCUCACAACAAAGACUCAUCAGACUCCAAACGUCAGUAGUGCCGAGGCUGAGAAACUGUACCAGAACCUGGAAGCUUACUAGUGGGAAAGCUAAGGGAGCUUUAGAACCACCCUGCUCCGGACUAUAAGUGAAGGUUUAUUCCAAGCAGCAACUGUGCUCUCUGGGUGCCACACAGCCCUCCAGCAUUGGCUGUGUGAGCCUGGACAGUGACUGACUUUUAUACAAGCCUUAGAUAGGCGUCAGCUGUAAAAUGAGGAUAACAGAAAUAUCUGCCUUCCAAGACUGUGAAAGUGAUGUGAGAUUGUGUACAUAAAGUGUUUAUUUUUAUGUUUAUUUUUGUUUUUAUUUUUAUUCUUGAGAUGGAGUCUCGCUCUGUCACCCAGGCUGGAGUGCAGUGGCACAAUCUUGGCUCACUGCAGUCCCUGCCUCCCAGGUUCAGGAGAUUCUCCUGCCUCAGCCUCCCUAGUAGCUGGGAAUACAGGCACGCGCCAUCACACCCGGUUAAUUUUUGUAUUUUUAGUAGAGACGGGGUUUCGCCGUGUUGGCCAGGCUGGUGUCGAACUCCUGGGCUCAAGUGAUCUGCCCGCCUCAGCCUCCCAAAGUGCUGAGAUUACAGGCCGGAGCCACUGCGCCCGGCCCAUAAUGUGUUUAGAGUGCUCCCGUGGCCAGCACACUACAAACACAAAAUGCAUGAAAAACAAACAGCCAACUGAAAUGCCUUCUGCACUGCAGCAGUCAUCAUGGCCGUAAGCUGUGCAGCAGCAGGCCUGAAGAAGCAUCCAGCAGAGAGAGGAGUCUUCCCAGCAGCGGGGCACUGCCACUUAGGAGGCAAGGAGAGCUGAGGCAGAUCAGGUUCUGUGAGAAGGGGUAUCAACAACUGAGCAGAGCUGCUUGGGAUUACCUGUAUGCCCAAAGAUGUCCUGGAUGAAGGCACUGACCUCCCAAGCAAAGGCAAGGGAAGGAGGGACCCAGGUACCAGAGACUCUCAGUGCAGCAUUUGGUGGGAGGAAGGCAAACACUAUCAAAGAAAAGGAUUCGAAACAGCAGCAGACUAAACUGCAACCCCCUCCAACAUAUCCUUUUAAUAACAUGGACAACGACAACUGAAAAAUGCAUGUUCAGGGGCCUCAAACAGGCCCCCAAAACGCCCCCAAAAGCCGUUAAUGACCAGAACCAAAUAAAGUUACUAAUAACCAAACUGGGAAGUACACAGCCCCCACAAAAGCCCCCACAAGACGUGAAGGCUGCAUGUGCAGUGGAACUUCUGUUUCCAAACAGAACCACCCGGCAUCUGCCCCAGGCCACGUCAGCCCCACCCCACCCCCAAUCCCAUGCCAUACUCAUGCUCACAAGUCACCAGUGGCUCAACUUGGAAUUUCCAGACUUAUGUUUUCUAAAACUUUGAGCAGAGUUUAAAAAUUACCAGAGAUUAGCCUGGGUGACAUGGCAAAACCCUGUCUCUACCAAAAAAGUGCAAAAAUUAGCCAGGCAUGGUGGCACGCGCCUGUCGUCCCAGCUACUUGGGGGGCUGAGGCAGGAAGAUCGCUUGAACCGGGAGGCAGAGGUUGCAGUGAGCUGAGAUCCCACCACUGCACUCCAGCCUGGGCAACAGAGUAAGACCCUGUCUCAAAAAAAAGAAAAAAAAAAAAAAUUACCAUAGGUUAAUGUUGACAACAAAUUUGAGAGGUUUAUUUUAAAAAGCUUUUCACCCUAACCCUAACCGGGAGACCCCUGCAGCAGGCAGAGACCCUCACUCUGACCUUUAGACCAAGACAACUCACACUCCUCAGUCCAAAUUACAACAGGCACAGGACUUCACUUUACUUGUUAGCAACUCUCAACUUUUUAAAAAAUGUGUUCAAGAGUUCACCAAAAUGUUAACAAAAGGAUUGAUAAUUCUUCUGCAAACUGCUUUUUAAACAAUUUUUAUGUAAGGCCUGGCACUGUGGCUCAUGCCUGUAAUCCCAGUGCUUUGGGAGGCCGAGG